UUGCUUUCUUUGCUGGCGACCGGCGCACGGGUGAGUAACACGUAUCCAACCUGCCCUUUACUCGGGGAUAGCCUUUCGAAAGAAAGAUUAAUACCCGAUAGCAUAAUGAUUCCGCAUGGUUUCAUUAUUAAAGGAUUCCGGUAAAGGAUGGGGAUGCGUUCCAUUAGGUUGUUGGUAAGGUAACGGCCCACCAAGCCUUCGAUGGAUAGGGGUUCUGAGAGGAAGGUCCCCCACAUUGGAACUGAGACACGGUCCAA
This 257-nucleotide ribosomal RNA is filed under the name uncultured bacterium. RNAcentral's name for it is "partial 16S ribosomal RNA". It matches the Rfam family "Bacterial small subunit ribosomal RNA", at positions 76 to 334 of the family's 1533-position model. The record is from RNAcentral.